This 86-nucleotide transfer RNA is filed under the name Lentisphaerae bacterium ADurb.Bin242. RNAcentral describes it as "tRNA-Leu". It matches the Rfam family "tRNA". From Rfam's summary of the family: Transfer RNA (tRNA) molecules are approximately 80 nucleotides in length. Their secondary structure includes four short double-helical elements and three loops (D, anti-codon, and T loops). The record is from RNAcentral. Lineage: Bacteria; Pseudomonadati; Lentisphaerota.
GCCGAAGUGGCGGAAUGGCAGACGCACUAGACUCAAAAUCUGGCGGGGGCAACCCCGUAAGGGUUCAAGUCCCUUCUUCGGCACCA